UACAGAGGGGGCAAGCGUUGUUCGGAAUUACUGGGCGUAAAGGGCGCGUAGGCGGCCCGCUAAGUCGAACGUGAAAUCCCUGGGCUCAACCCAGGAACUGCGUCCAAGACUGGGAGGCUUGAAUCCGGGAGAGGGAUGCGGAAUUCCAGGUGUAGCGGUGAAAUGCGUAGAUAUCUGGAGGAACACCGGUGGCGAAGGCGGCAUCCUGGACCGGUAUUGACACUGAGGCGCGAAAGCCAGGGGAGCAAACGGG
Molecule: ribosomal RNA, 253 nt
Filed under: uncultured bacterium
Lineage: Bacteria
Description: partial 16S ribosomal RNA
Rfam family: Bacterial small subunit ribosomal RNA
Source: RNAcentral